UACUUGGCGUAAAGAGCUCGUAGGCGGUUUGUCGCGUCUGCUGUGAAAGCCCGGGGCUCAACCCCGGGUCUGCAGUUGGUACGGGCAGACUAGAGUGCAGUAGGGGAGACUGGAAUUCCUGGUGUAGCGGUGAAUGCGCAGAUAUCAGGAGGAACACCGAUGGCGAAGGCAGGUCUCUGGGCUGUUACUGACGCUGAGGAGCGAAAGCAUGGGGAGCGAACAGGAUUAGAUACCCUGGUAGUCCAUGCCGUAAACGUUGGGCACUAGGUGUGGGGGACAUUCCACGUUUUCCGCGCCGUAGCUAACGCAUUAAGUGCCCCGCCUGGGGAGUACGGCCGCAAGGCUAAAACUCAAAGGAAUUGACGGGGGCCCGCACAAGCGGCGGAGCAUGCGGAUUAAUUCGAUGCAACGCGAAGAACCUUACCAAGGCUUGACAUUCACCGGACCGCCCCAGAGAUGGGGUUUCCCUUCGGGGCUGGUGGACAGGUGGUGCAUGGUUGUCGUCAGCUCGUGUCGUGAGAUGUUGGGUUAAGUCCCGCAACGAGCGCAACCCUCGUUCUAUGUUGCCAGCACGUGAUGGUGGGGACUCAUAGGAGACUGCCGGGGUCAACUCGGAGGAAGGUGGGGAUGACGUCAAAUCAUCAUGCCCCUUAUGUCUUGGGCUUCACGCAUGCUACAAUGGCCGGUACAAAGGGUUGCGAUACUGUGAGGUGGAGCUAAUCCCAAAAAGCCGGUCUCAGUUCGGAUUGAGGUCUGCAACUCGACCUCAUGAAGUCGGAGUCUCUA
This 786-nucleotide ribosomal RNA is filed under the name Kocuria rosea subsp. polaris. Its description in RNAcentral is "bacterial SSU rRNA". It matches the Rfam family "Bacterial small subunit ribosomal RNA", at positions 552 to 1337 of the family's 1533-position model. The record is from RNAcentral. Lineage: Bacteria; Bacillati; Actinomycetota; Actinomycetes; Micrococcales; Micrococcaceae.